This 293-nucleotide long non-coding RNA is filed under the name Homo sapiens (human). Its description in RNAcentral is "non-protein coding lnc-TBX20-4:3". Lineage: Eukaryota; Metazoa; Chordata; Mammalia; Primates; Hominidae. The record is from RNAcentral.
GGUAUUCUGGCAAUGAAACCACAUUUCCUGAAAAUAAAUGUAUCUGAACUUAGUUUAUGGGUUAUUCAAGGAUGUUUUUGGUUAUUUGGAACUGUCAUACUUAAAUACUUGACAUCUAAAAUUUUUGGUAUUGCAGAUGACGUAAGUGCAUUUUUUACUUAAAUUUGAAAGACUUGAAAAGAAUCGAAUAGGCUAAGAAUAAAUUGAGUUAUUCAAGUAUCACUAUUAAAUGAAAUUCUAGGAUGAAGUCUGUUCACCUAUUAUUUUAUUUAAUAUAAUAGAAAGUAAAUGUA